Molecule: transfer RNA, 61 nt
Filed under: Liposcelis bostrychophila
Lineage: Eukaryota; Metazoa; Arthropoda; Insecta; Psocodea; Liposcelididae
Description: tRNA-Pro
Source: RNAcentral
CAGAAUUUAGUUUAAAAAAUUUUAGUCUUGGAUACUAAAGAUAUCAGAGUGAUAGUUCUAA